Molecule: long non-coding RNA, 1969 nt
Organism: Salvelinus fontinalis (brook trout)
Lineage: Eukaryota; Metazoa; Chordata; Actinopteri; Salmoniformes; Salmonidae
Exons: 2
Source: RefSeq, a predicted model, not a curated record
AUGAAAAUUACAGGCCUCUCUCAUCUUUUUAAGUGGGAGAACUUGCACAAUUGGUGGCUGACUAAAUACUUUUUUGCCCCACUGUAUAGCGUCUUAUUAAAGCAGAAAUGUAUGUUUUUUUACUUUUUUUAUGUGGUGCUGAUCACAUCACUGACGGCAGAGGCGAGGAGAAGGACAAAGGAGAGGACAUCAUAAAAAAAUAUUUAAUACACACUGGUCAGUUUUCCAUACUCCAGUUCCACCCUCCUUCAUCAUGGGCUACAAAACCAAAACUGUCUCUGGAUCAGUCUUUACGUGCCAGUUUUAUCAGUGGCAAAGGAAACGAGGUUGUCCUACUACUCCAUCACAUUCCACUUACUAUACAAAUGGGAGGAGGUGAGGGCUCUAGGAGUGUGGUACCAGGAAAAUAACCUCUCACUCAACGUCAACAAAACAAAGGAGAUGAUCGUGGACUUCAGGAAACAGCAGAGGGAGCCCCCCCUAUCUACAUCGACGGGACCGCAGUGGAGAAGGUGGGAAGCUUCAAGUUCCUCGGGGGGAAAACAUCACGGACAAACUGAAAUGGUCCAACCACACAGACAGUGUGGUGAAGAAGGCGCACAAAAUAAAUUAAAGCUCUUAGAAACUUUUAAAAAAAGGGCAAACUACCUGCCCUCCAGGACACCUACAGCACCCGAUGUCACAGGAAGACCAAAAAUAUCAUCAAGGACAAUAACCACCCGAGCAACUGCCUGUUCACCCCGCUAUCAUCCAGAAAGGUGAGGUCAGUACAGGUGCAUCAAAGCUGGGGCCGAGAGACUGAAAAACAGCUUCUGUCUCAAGGCCAACAGACUUUCACGAGCACAUUAGAGGCUGCUGCCUAUAUACUGUAUAUAGACUUGAAAUCACUGUCCACUUUAAUAAAUGUAACACUAGUAACUUUAAUAAUGUUUACAUAUCUUGCAUUACUCAUGUCAUAUGUAUAUACUGUAUCCUAUUCUACUGUAUCUUAGUCUAUGCCGCUCUGACAUUGCUCAUCCAUAUAUUUAUAUAUUCUUGAUUCCUUUACUUUAGAUUUGUGUGUAUUGGGUAUAUGUUGUGAUAAUGUUAGAUAUUACUGCAAUAACAUCUGCUAAACACAUACAGUAUGUGACCAAUAAGAUUUGAUUUGAUAUUGAUUGUUUUGCAGAAUGGGUCCUCCAUCCCAUUGGUAUCUCUGUAUUCAUUGUGUUGCAGAAUGGGUCGUUUCCAUCCCAUUGGUAUCUCUGUAUUCAUUGUGUUGCAGAAUGGGUUGUUUCCAUCCCAUUGGUAUCUCUGUAUUCAUUGUGUUGCAGAAUGGGUCGUCUCCAUCCCAUUGGUAUCUCUGUAUUCAUUGUGUUGCAGAAUAGGUCGUCUCCAUCCCAUUGGUAUCUCUGUAUUCAUUGUGUUGCAGAAUGGGUCGUCUCCAUCCCAUUGGUAUCUCUGUAUUCAUUGUGUUGCAGAAUGGGUCGUCUCCAUCCCAUUGGUAUCUCUGUAUUCAUUGUGUUGCAGAAUGGGUCGUCUCCAUCCCAUUGGUAUCUCUAUAUUCAUUGUGUUGCAGAAUGGGUCAAAUGCCUGUGUCCUCUAUUUCUAUCUCGUUGUUUCUCUUGUCUCUUUGUGUUUGUGCACCAAUGGUUUUUCUACACUCGUGACCAUUCCUAUGAUCUGCAGCGCCACGAGAUACCGAAUGGCUCAGAGUAAAAAGAGGCUUUAGAGAAAUGGGUAUUGGACUGGUGGUAAUCCUCAUGUGUAAGUAUAAAUCUGUUGAAGCACUCCCAUGCCAUUCACUAACACAGGGAAUGGCACCAGGGACCAUGUGUUUUCUUCUGAGAAGAAACGCUACACUUGAAAAGCAAUUUGUCUAUUUUAUAUGUCAAGCUUAUCAUUGAUCAAAUGGGAUGUGUCUGUGAGAGGAGAAGAUUCUCUCUGUGUGUGUGUUUUUUGUUGGAAGAAAUAAAAAGUCCUGAAGUAA